Molecule: unclassified non-coding RNA, 380 nt
Filed under: uncultured delta proteobacterium
Lineage: Bacteria; Deltaproteobacteria
Description: contains 16S-23S intergenic spacer region
Source: RNAcentral
UCCCCGUUAUCCGAGGCGGUUUCGCUAGAGUGCCCGACUUGACUCGCUGGCAACUAACGAUAAGGGUUGCGCUCGUUGCGGGACUUAACCCAACAUCUCACGGCACGAGCUGACGACGGCCAUGCAGCACCUGAACCGGCAGUCCCCGAAGGGAAAAUCCUAUUUCUAGGACGGUCCGCCGUUGUCUAGCCCAGGUAAGGUUCUUCGCGUUGCGUCGAAUUGAACCACAUGCUCCACCGCUUGUGCGGGCCCCCGUCAAUUCCUUUGAGUUUUAAUCUUGCGACCGUACUCCCCAGGCGGGGCACUUAAUGCGUUAGCUGCGGCACCCAGGGGGUCAACACCCACGACACCUAGUUCUCAUCGUUUACGGCGUGGACUAC